Molecule: transfer RNA, 73 nt
Filed under: Paramuricea clavata
Lineage: Eukaryota; Metazoa; Cnidaria; Anthozoa; Malacalcyonacea; Plexauridae
Rfam family: tRNA
About the family: Transfer RNA (tRNA) molecules are approximately 80 nucleotides in length. Their secondary structure includes four short double-helical elements and three loops (D, anti-codon, and T loops). Further hydrogen bonds mediate the characteristic L-shaped molecular structure. tRNAs have two regions of fundamental functional importance: the anti-codon, which is responsible for specific mRNA codon recognition, and the 3' end, to which the tRNAs corresponding amino acid is attached (by aminoacyl-tRNA synthetases). tRNAs cope with the degeneracy of the genetic code in two manners: having more than one tRNA (with a specific anti-codon) for a particular amino acid; and 'wobble' base-pairing, i.e. permitting non-standard base-pairing at the 3rd anti-codon position.
Source: Rfam by way of RNAcentral
GCCUCUGUAGCUCCGUUGGUUAGAGCAUUGCACCGGAAUCGCAGGGCCGUAGGUUCAAUUCCUACCAGAGGAC